This 1644-nucleotide long non-coding RNA is filed under the name Amborella trichopoda. RNAcentral describes it as "long non-coding RNA (ATRI_LNC000615)". The record is from RNAcentral. Lineage: Eukaryota; Viridiplantae; Streptophyta; Magnoliopsida; Amborellales; Amborellaceae.
GGGGGGGGCAGCAUAACAUUCCAUGUGUGUGUGUGAGGGAGAGAGAUGUCUUCCAAGUGUUCAAAUGAAGGGAAAAACCACUCUCCAGUGUUCAAUGAAAUGUCUUUGAUUUGGAUUUCAGAGAUAGAGCAUACAGGGCAACAUGUACUGUCCUUGUGAGAGAGAGAGAGAGAGAGAGUCCAAGUGAGAGAAUAAAACAGAUUCCCUGCAAAUGUCCGACGCAAUGUUUGGACUCAAAUUCCAUUGCUUUUUACCAUUUUCGGGUUUGGGGUUAAAGGCUAUACAACAUGCCCUGCAAAAUCUUUGAUGAAAUAUCAUUCUCAAAAGAAUGUUUGAUGAAAUAUCCUCUCUCUCUCUCCCUCUCUCUCUCUCUCACACACACACAUGCACGUGCCUCUCUCUCUCUCUCUCACACACACACACACACCACCACCCACCCACACACACACACACACAAAGUGUCCACUUGCCCAAUGCACCCGCCAGCUUAGGCAGCACAUAGGUCACAUUGAUGGGCACCCAGAGGGUCCCCAUCCAGGUUGGGGUGCCUCGACAGAGCAGAGUGCUGACGCGCCCCACUCUUUGAAACACUGAUAUGGCUUUUAUGGUGGCAGACAGGUACUCAUGUGUGAUCCUAAGAUUUUCCUGGGCACUAAAAAGGGAAAAGAAGUAAUCCAUAAGGAUAAAGGAAGGCUGCAUGCAUUACCAAAUAGCAUAGAGAACAAAAUUAAACCAUAACCAUCAAUGGUUCAAGGAGCAUAGCAUGUCAGCUUAAGAAAGCUCUUGAGCCACUACACCUAUAUUGUUUUUCUAACAUCAGUUGUCUAUCACCCCAUUGUUUACAUUAGUUAAUAUCAUGUCAUUAGUCUAUAUCAAGACAUGACAUUUUUUGCUACUACUUUCCAUGGUUUGAGCAUAUAACAAUCCAGAUGCCACGACAACUACAGAUCCACUAUCAGCUUUUAUAAUUCUUGUGAAACACCCCCACUCAUCUCAUGGAUGAGAAAAAAGCACAACAGAGCAUAAGUCUAUAGUUGGAAAACAAUAUCAAGCUAAGCAUUACUUGACAUGAGAUCCUGUGGUAAGAACAUUGUCGUGCUAUUUACCGACGAAGCAGUUCCUGUAGUUGGGGCAAUGUUUUUACCAAUUCUAUGAAUUGAUAUACAAGUAAAGCCCAAACAGAUGCAUGUCCUUUUGAUAAAAUAUGGAUUUUCUUGGACCUCCAGAAUGCACAUCAACUCCUCAUUGCUAUCAUCACCGUAUAAUCAAAAUUACAAUAGUAGCAAAUAGGGUGAUGCUCAAUUUCAAAGUAAGAAAAGCUAGGUUUAGGCUAGUUCAUCACCCUAGUCAACUGAUAAAAACUAAAUGAGAUCCACAAGCUCAACAUCAGGCACAGCAGCAUGUUUAAAGUAAUUAUACUGAUGUAAGACAGUUCGGAAGUCCUGCAUAUACUCUGCUUUAAAAUGAGACCAAUAAUUGCAAACCCAGCAGUCUGGUACAAAUUCAUUGGUUUGCCGCUUUCACAACCAAUCUAUUACAGAAAAUAUAAAGGUGAGUAAUAGAAUUGAAUACACAGAAGCACCAAAGAUACAUCAAAGAACUCCUUACCAUAAAGUACUAAUAAUGUUUUUCACAGUAUACCUU